RNAcentral lists this long non-coding RNA (414 nucleotides) under Capsicum annuum. RNAcentral's name for it is "long non-coding RNA (CANN_LNC005163)". The record is from RNAcentral. Lineage: Eukaryota; Viridiplantae; Streptophyta; Magnoliopsida; Solanales; Solanaceae.
UUAGAGAAAUUUAGAAGGUGAUUGAAAUUGCACCCUUUAUUUUUCCACUCUAACUAGAGUUUAGAGGGGAAAAUAGAGUGGAUCGGAAAUGUCCUUAAUUCACCCACUCCAAAAGCACCGAGUCACCGACGACUUGAUAGUGAACCGGGUUCAUAUACCGGAUCAACCAUCUCUCAAAAAUGAAAUCAAGAAACCACUGAGCCUUUCUUCCUUUUUUUAGACGAGAAAAAAAUGGAGCCUCGGAGGAAGUUAUUAUUGCUGGUAGUUUACCUGCGUGUAAUUACAAAUUUUACCCUACAAGUAAGAGGUUGGACUGGAGAAAUUCAUGGCAGAGUUGUUUGUGACGUCUGUGGUGAUUCUUCUGUUGGUCCUGAAGACCAUGUUCUUCUGAGUAUAUAUAGGAAGAAUUCCCAG